UCAAGUGAAUAAGCGCAUACGGUGGAUGCCUUGGCGAUGAGAGGCGACGAAGGACGUGAUAGCCUGCGAAAAGCUUCGGGGAGGCGGCAAAUAGCCUGUGAUCCGGAGAUGUCCGAAUGGGGAAACCCACCCGACCUGUCGGGUACCGCACACUGAAUACAUAGGUCUGCGGGGCGAACCCGGGGAACUGAAACAUCUCAGUACCCGGAGGAAAAGAAAUCAACCGAGAUUCCCUUAGUAGUGGCGAGCGAACGGGGAGCAGCCCUUAAGUCGUAUAGUUCCUAGUGGAAGCGUCUGGAAAGUCGCACCAUAGGGGUGAUAGUCCCGUACACGAAAGGGGCUAUACGAUGAAAUCGAGUAAGGCGGGGCACGUGAAACCCUGUCUGAACAUGGGGGACCAUCCUCCAAGGCUAAAUACUACUCAUCGACCGAUAGUGAACCAGUACCGUGAGGGAAAGGCGAAAAGAACCGGGGUGACCGGAGUGAAAUAGAACCUGAAACCGUAUGCGUACAAGCAGUGGGAGCCCCUCGUGGGGUGACUGCGUACCUUUGUAUAAUGGGUCAGCGAGUUAUUUUCAGUGGCGAGCUUAACCGUGUAGGGGAGGCGUAGCGAAAGCGAGUCUUAAUAGGGCGCCAUAGUCGCUGGGAAUAGACCCGAAACCGGGCGAGCUAUCCAUGACCGGGCUGAAGGUGGGGUAACACCUACUGGAGGGCCGAACCGGGAUCUGUUGAAAAAGAUUCGGAUGAGUUGUGGAUAGGAGUGAAAGGCUAAACAAGCUCGGAGAUAGCUGGUUCUCCUCGAAAGCUAUUUAGGUAGCGCCUCGUGUGAUUACUCUCGGGGUAGAGCACUGUUUCGGCUAGGGGUCGUCUAGAUCUACCAAACCAAUGCAAACUCCGAAUACCGAUGAAGUACAGCACGGGAGACAGACGGCGGGUGAUAACGUUCGUCGUCAAAGGAAACAACCCAGACCGCCAGCUAAGGUCCCCAAGUCAUGGCUCAGUGGAAAACGAUGUGGGAAGGCACAGACAGCCAGGAGGUUGGCUUAGAAGCAGCCAUCCUUCAAAGAAAGCGUAAUAGCUCACUGGUCGAGUCGGCCUGCGCGGAAGAUUCAACGGGGCUAAGCCAUGCACCGAAGCUGCGGAUUCGGCCUUUGGCCGAGUGGUAGGGGAGCGUUCCGUAAGCCUGCGAAGGUGGAUCGUAAGGUCCGCUGGAGGUAUCGGAAGUGCGAAUGCUGACAUGAGUAACGACAAAGCGGGUGAAAAACCCGCUCGCCGAAAGCAAGGUUUCCUGCGCAACGCUAAUCGGCGCAGGGUUAGUCGGCACCUAAGGCGAGGCCGAAAGGCGUAGUCGAUGGAAAACGGGUUAAUAUUCCCGUACCCGUACCAACUGCGAUGGGGUGACGGAGAAGGCUAGGUCAGCCGGGUGUUGGAUGUCCCGGUUUAAGCAGGUAGGCGGAUCCCUUAGGCAAAUCCGGGGGUCAACGCCGAGAUGUGACGACGGCGCUGUAGCAAUACAGCCGAAGUGAUUGAUGCCAUGCUUCCAAGAAAAACCUCUAAGCUUCAGGUUGGAUCGGGCCGUACCAAAACCGACACAGGUGGGCAGGGUGAAAAUCCCAAGGCGCUUGAGAGAACUCGGGUGAAGGAACUAGGCAAAAUGGUACCGUAACUUCGGGAGAAGGUACGCCUUAAGUAAGUGAAGUCCCCGCGGAUGGAGCUGAACAAGGUUGCAAGAAAACGGUGGCUGCGACUGUUUAUUAAAAACACAGCACUCUGCAAACACGUAAGUGGACGUAUAGGGUGUGACGCCUGCCCGGUGCCGGAAGGUUAAUUGAUGGGGUCAGCGCAAGCGAAGCUCUUGAUCGAAGCCCCGGUAAACGGCGGCCGUAACUAUAACGGUCCUAAGGUAGCGAAAUUCCUUGUCGGGUAAGUUCCGACCUGCACGAAUGGCGUAACGAUGGCCACACUGUCUCCACCCGGGACUCAGUGAAAUUGAAUUGGCUGUGAAGAUGCAGUGUACCCGCGGCUAGACGGAAAGACCCCGUGAACCUUUACUAUAGCUUUGCACUGGACUUUGACUUCGCUUGUGUAGGAUAGGUGGGAGCCUGUGAAACCGGGACGCCAGUUCCGGCGGAGGCAACCUUGAAAUACCACCCUGGUGAAUUCGGAGUUCUAACCUGGAUCCGUUAUCCGGAUCGGGGACCGUGCAUGGUGGGUAGUUUGACUGGGGCGGUCUCCUCCCAAAGAGUAACGGAGGAGCACGAAGGUGCGCUCGGCACGGUCGGACAUCGUGCUAUGAGUGUAAGAGCAAAAGCGCGCUUGACUGCGAGACAUACAAGUCGAGCAGGUACGAAAGUAGGUUCUAGUGAUCCGGUGGUUCUGUAUGGAAGGGCCAUCGCUCAACGGAUAAAAGGUACUCCGGGGAUAACAGGCUGAUACCGCCCAAGAGUUCAUAUCGACGGCGGUGUUUGGCACCUCGAUGUCGGCUCAUCACAUCCUGGGGCUGUAGCCGGUCCCAAGGGUAUGGCUGUUCGCCAUUUAAAGUGGUACGCGAGCUGGGUUUAGAACGUCGUGAGACAGUUCGGUCCCUAUCUGCCGUGGGCGUUGGAGAUUUGAGGGAAGUUGCUCCUAGUACGAGAGGACCGGGUGAACGAACCUCUGGUGUUCCGGUUGUCACGCCAGUGGCACAGCCGGGUAGCUAUGUUCGGACAGGAUAACCGCUGAAAGCAUCUAAGCGGGAAGCCCCUCCCAAGAUGAGAUCUCCCUGGGACCUCGAGUCCCCCGAAGGGCCCUGGUAGACCACCAGGUUGAUAGGCUGGGUGUGGAAGUCCAGUAAUGGAUGAAGCUAACCAGUACUAAUUGCCCGUGAGGCUUGACCA
Molecule: ribosomal RNA, 2876 nt
Filed under: Methylomagnum ishizawai
Lineage: Bacteria; Pseudomonadati; Pseudomonadota; Gammaproteobacteria; Methylococcales; Methylococcaceae
Description: 23S ribosomal RNA
Rfam family: Bacterial large subunit ribosomal RNA
Source: RNAcentral